This 379-nucleotide small RNA is filed under the name Pan troglodytes (chimpanzee). RNAcentral describes it as "processed transcript". Lineage: Eukaryota; Metazoa; Chordata; Mammalia; Primates; Hominidae. The record is from RNAcentral.
GAGGUGGAAGGCCAUACAGAAUGGAGCCGUGAGUAUGGCCAGCCUCCAGCUCUCAGCCAGGAAGUCCCCAACCCCAAGGAAGGAAGAAACUGGAAAUUAGGAACUGCUUCCUCAUUUAACAAGUUCAGGCUUCAGAGAGCCCCUGGCGCCUGCAGGAACAUGGCAGAGGAGACGCCGUCUGUCUUCACAAAGUACGUCCUCCCUCCUUGCUGCCUCUUCCCACCAGCCUGACUUAUCCAGGGACAGAGCAGUAGGUGCCUGGCACUCCUCGAUGCCCAGUGAAACCAGACUGUGCUUCCCCACCCCCACCGCCAUGCCCCAUGCUCACUGGCUCAUUUCUUGGGAGGGCUUAGAGCUGGAUAAUAUAAGUUCCCUUGGA